GACUGGCUAAUCAGUUAGUCUGUUUUUUAUUCUUGGCCGGCAUGGAGCGUUGACGGUUUGCCGGUUGUUAAACGCGAGAAAGCCAACAACGCAUCAAACCUCCAUUUCCAGCAAUUCACAACCACAGCGUGUUUAAUUGUGCAAUUAGCAAAAGAUCAAAAAGAAACAAACAAAAUGUGGGCGACGCUUGUGGGAAUAAUCAUGCUCACCAUUAACACAGCCUCGGCGGCAACAA
Drosophila innubila is the source of this 235-nucleotide long non-coding RNA. RefSeq lists it as uncharacterized. The record is from RefSeq and is a predicted model, not a curated record. The transcript is spliced from 2 exons. Lineage: Eukaryota; Metazoa; Arthropoda; Insecta; Diptera; Drosophilidae.